Non-coding RNA from Pelobates cultripes (western spadefoot toad), 545 nucleotides. NCBI's taxonomy places the organism in Eukaryota, Metazoa, Chordata, Amphibia, Anura, Pelobatidae. The record is from the annotation of a GenBank genome assembly.
CCCAAUCACUUGAUUUAAUCAGCAGCCUGCUAUAGUGGUCUCGUUUGCAGCCUUUCACAUUGCUAACAGAAAGUUUCAGGUAUAGGUAGGUAGAACAUAGUUUGUCUCUAUGUCUGCUUGUUGUGUGUCUUUAAUUCUUUCUGUAGAUCAUGUGCAUUGGAGCUGGACAAUGAAAUGGCAAUUUAAAAUAGAUCUGGGCACAAUCUGAGUUUAAUUCUAAAGACAAUGUUUGUUGAAGCCCUUUAUUUUUCACAACUGCACAGGGGAUGGAACACAAACGAAAUCCCCCUUCUUUUAUCCAAGUCUAAUUUGUUUUGAAAGCAAUGGUCUCAUUUAUUAACAGGUGCAAAAACAUUCAAUGUUAAAAUUCCCAUCAGUCAUUUGGAGCCGAGACUUUACUUCUUUAACAUGUUAAUCGUUAUUUUAUACUUACACUUUAUUUUUAUUUAAUUUUUUUUUCAUACGUGUGCAGAAUUUGCUGGGUCAUAAUCAUUUGAAUAGAAAUGGGUUCAUACAUUUUCUACAACUCACUUCCUGAACUGUUA